CAAAGUUCAUUUAUCAGCUUUGAUUUAAGAAAUAUCUACAAAGUUUUUUUUCUCAAAUUAGUUUCCAGAUUUUAUCAACCUGAAAGUGAGAACUCAAGUUGCUUUGGUGCUUUUUAGAAUACUCAAUUGCUUUGAGUUUCAUAUUGCAUUGACCAUCAACUUUCAACCCUGCAUAGGAGUUUAUUUUCUGAAGCACCAACUUAUGCUUAGCUGUUUCUGAAGCCACACAGUAGCAGAUAAGUUUGAUGAGGUUCAUGUGCCCAGAAACUGCUUGUGUAUUUGAAAUCAGAUUUAUCUAUAGACUGCUACUGUUUUAGAAGAUUUUUAUUUUAUUUUUGGUACUCAUCAAAUAAUUUGCUAUAUCAAAUAUUUAGCCACCAUAAUAUUUCAGUCCUUGUUACCUGUCCAUCUGCUCAUGAGUCAGUUGGGAAAAUUAUUAUUUCUAGAUACUAUUCAUUAACGGAAACAUGCUGCUCCAAAUGGAAGCUAGCAUGUUUCCUGGCAAGUACUCAUGAAGUCAUGAAUGAUUCUCUAGACUGCAUCUUACUGUUGCCGGAAAUGAGAGAAGGUAGUGAAGUGAGGCAAGCUGAACUUUUCUAUUGAUUAAAUGACACUCCGUGAACUAUCUACAGCUUCAUGAUGUUUUGCCAUAUCAUUAAAACUGAGGUUUUCUUGUUUGAUUGUAAUAAACAGUUUUCACUUAAUUUCUGUUCUAAUUCAAACACUCUGCUCUGGCAUUUUAUCUAAUGUUCAUCUUCUACUAAUGCUGAAUAAAUGCAAUUAACUACAAUUGUUUCUCAGCUGUGAUAUAAUUAAUUAUUUUAAUUACCAAACGAGCAUGGACGCAUCAUGAAGGUGGGUAUUCAUUGGUGUCAGCAGCGUGCAUGACCCCAUGGUGUCACAGAUGUGGUGAAUGUUUGAUCAUUCCAAAAAACUUGGUUUUGUGUUUUGUCGCAUUAAACAAUAGUGGAUUCCCUCUACGCCGGGUGGGUAACGUUUAUAAUUUUUCAUUUUUCUCACGAAUUUUGCUUUUUGGAUUAAAUGUCAUUUUAAUCUGUUUUUUAAUGAAGUUUCCAUGGUUAAUGUAUGGUGUAAAUCUGUUUUUUAAUGAUAUAUAGCAAUUGCAGAUUAUGGAUUUACAUGUAUUUGCUUCACCUGAUAUUAUACAACAACUCUGACAAACUUAAUGUGCACGUACAUUGGCUUUACCAGAAGCGUGGUGGGGUGGCAGACCUCUAGGCUCUUUUUAAGCAGUUAAAAAAGAAAUCACUGAUUUGCAUUGCGGCCGUGACAGAGAUCUUGUUUAGUUUUAUGCUUCUUUGUGCUAACUUCAUCAUGACAUGUUCGAUAUUUAAAUUAAGAAUAUGAGGCAAUCCCUUUAGCUAUUUAUUAUGAACCUCGCAGAAAUCUUUGGUUGCUUUGAUGUGCAUCUCUGAAAUACCGUGGCGUUAGCAUGUGUACUAUACUAUAUUAAUGAAGGCUUAAAGCUUUUGAUAUUUUAGAGUGGUUAAGGAUGGACCAAAGGAAGGUUUUGCUAGCUAGGGAGUUCUACGAUGACAUCAAAAGAAAAAACAAACCAAUUAUUCUUUCACAUGUAUACUGAUUAAUUAUUUUGAUCUUGUUCUCUUUAUUAAUUCUCAAGCACUGAUAUAUGCAGUUAACUUAUGUACUACUAUGUUGUGGUUAUUUUCUCUUUUUUUCAUGAGGUACCAUUGCAAAUAAGUUAGGCAAAGUAUUCAGUAUAUGAGCUGCAGCUGUAUCUGGCCGCAAAUGGAUUAUAGCUUGUAUGCAUAGAUAUUUUCUCUAGGCUGAUAAUAUGAGAUCAUUUAUCUAAUACUACUAACAGUUUUUGUUUUGGUUCUGAAAUAUUUUCUGUAGUUAACUGAAUUAUGACUUUAUUUUCUGAUAUCUAUUCAGAUGGAUAGGUGGAAGCAGUCAUUAGAAGACGGGAUCAUGCACAUUUUUUGUUAAAAAUAUUUGUAGCACAAUGUAGUAUUUUAUUUAAGAAAAUAUUGCAUUUUCAUGUAAAUUUAAAGUGUCUGAUUUAAAAUGUCAAGGUUGAGUUGGGUUCACGAGCAGGUGACC
This is a long non-coding RNA of Sorghum bicolor (sorghum), 2085 nucleotides long. RefSeq lists it as uncharacterized. Lineage: Eukaryota; Viridiplantae; Streptophyta; Magnoliopsida; Poales; Poaceae. The transcript is spliced from 2 exons. The record is from RefSeq and is a predicted model, not a curated record.